RNAcentral lists this ribosomal RNA (448 nucleotides) under uncultured bacterium. Its description in RNAcentral is "bacterial SSU rRNA". It matches the Rfam family "Bacterial small subunit ribosomal RNA", at positions 329 to 794 of the family's 1533-position model. The record is from RNAcentral.
UUCCAGACUCCUACGGGAGGCAGCAGUGGGGAAUAUUGCACAAUGGGGGAAACCCUGAUGCAGCGACGCCGCGUGAGCGAUGAAGUAUUUCGGUAUGUAAAGCUCUAUCAGCAGGGAAGAAGAUGACGGUACCUGACUAAGAAGCCCCGGCUAACUACGUGCCAGCAGCCGCGGUAAUACGUAGGGGGCAAGCGUUAUCCGGAUUUACUGGGUGUAAAGGGAGCGUAGACGGCGAUGCAAGCCAGAUGUGAAAGCCCGGGGCUCAACCCCGGGACUGCAUUUGGAACUGUGUGGCUGGAGUGUCGGAGAGGCAGGCGGAAUUCCUAGUGUAGCGGUGAAAUGCGUAGAUAUUAGGAGGAACACCAGUGGCGAAGGCGGCCUGCUGGACGAUGACUGACGUUGAGGCUCGAAAGCGUGGGGAGCAAACAGGAUUAGAUACCCUGGUAAU